AUUGAACGCUGGCGGCAUGCUUUACACAUGCAAGUCGAACGGCAGCACGGGGCAACCUGGUGGCGAGUGGCGAACGGGUGAGUAAUAUAUCGGAACGUACCCAAGAGUGGGGGAUAACGUAGCGAAAGUUCCGCUAAUACCGCAUACGAUCUAAGGAUGAAAGCAGGAGAUCUUCUGACCUUGUGCUCCUGGAGCGGCCGAUAUCUGAUUAGCUAGUUGGUGAGGUAAAGGCUCACCAAGGCGACGGUCAGUAGCUGGUCUGAGAGGACGACCAGCCACACUGGAACUGAGACACGGUCCAGACGCCGACGGGAGGCAGCAGUGGGGAAUUUUGGACAAUGGGCGCAAGCCUGAUCCAGCAAUGCCGCGUGAGUGAAGAAGGCCUUCGGGUUGUAAAGCUCUUUUGUCAGGGAAGAAACGGUUGUGGCUAAUAUCCAUGGCUAAUGACAGUACCUGAAGAAUAAGCACCGGCUAACUACGUGCCAGCCGCCGCCGUAA
RNAcentral lists this ribosomal RNA (498 nucleotides) under uncultured bacterium. Its description in RNAcentral is "partial 16S ribosomal RNA". It matches the Rfam family "Bacterial small subunit ribosomal RNA", at positions 30 to 523 of the family's 1533-position model. The record is from RNAcentral.